CAUCAAUUCUUUGGUGCUCAGCGUUUUUUAUGGUCCAACUCUCACAUCCAUACAUGACUACUGGAAAGACCGUAGCUUUGACUAUACAGAACUUCGUUAGCAGUGAAGGAGCUGUGUGGUGGUUCAAAGCAGGUAGGAAAGUCCUGUCAGCCCUGAAUGGAAUCCAAGCUCCACCACUCACUAGUAGUUUGACCUAAGUGGACAACUUUUCCUCUUGUGUAACAAUAGGGUUAGUCUAGUUCUAGUGAGGCUGAAGGAGUAACAUGAUGAGAUUCAUGCCUGCACAUAGCUUAAGGGCUUCCCUCAUAACUCAGCUGGUAAAGAAUCUGCCUGCAAUUCAAAAGACCUGGGUUCGAUCCCUGGGUUGGGGAGAUCCCUGGAGGAGGGCGUGGCAACCCACUCCAGUAUUCUUGCCUGGAAAAUCCCAUAGACAGAGGAGCCUGGUGGGCUAUAGUCCAUGGGGUCACAAAGAGUUGGACAUGACUGAGUGACUAAGUCCAGCACCACAGGGCUUAAAACAUCACUUACUCAGUCUGUUGUUCGUAAGAUGCUCAAGCCUUUGUUUCUGUCUCUCAGGGACACAUGGCCAUGGGAAUGAGCAGGGAGAAGGGGAUUUGGGCCCUCCCACUUCUUCAAGGGCACAGGGCAGAGCUAGAGAUUUUAAGUCACUCUAGUUUUCUCUCGAGAUGCUCAAGACUGGGGAUCUUGAGAGUUAGUUGACAGCAUGCCAAGCAGUGGCUUAUGAGCCAGGCUGAAAUCUAAGUCUGCAGAAAAAGAGGAGUGACCUCUGUGCCCGGAGCUUCCUGAGCGCCCGUGACUUCCUGAAAGUGCUGUCUCCUGGUCUGCGGGAGACUAGUGCUCCCGGCUGCAGGGCCGCCGUGGGAGCAUCCAGCCCCGCCGGUCCUGCUCCAGCUCUCCAGACCCUGUCCUCAUCAGCUUUUCCUCGAGCAUCCAUGUUCCCACUCACUUUGCAAAAUGCCCCUGCUCUGAACCCUCCCACCCCAAGCUACUGACUGUUCAUGAAUAUUUUAAGCAGAUAUAGUGGAAUUAACAAAAAUAUCUAUCUCUAGGACUUUUUCCUUGAGGAACCUGAAGAUAAAAUUUGAGCAAUGCCGGAGUCCUCCUGGAGCUGCGUGUGUACCUGCAGAAAGGCAGAUUAGCGAGAGGACUGUCUUCUGAUGAACGGCGCGAGUCAUCUUCGGGCUAAGAGCCUGGAGUUUCGAUGCCAGCUGUGCUGCCAACCCGCGGGCGGGCCCAGGCAAACUGCCCACACUCGCUGUGCCUCAGUUUUCCCAUAUGCAAAGAGGAGAUAGAAAUAUACCUCCCCAGUGGGGAUGUCCUGAGGAUUAACGGAACAGUAUCAGGAAAGCACUUUGUGGUGUUUUAUACGCCAAAAGGUAUUACCAUUAUAAAAAUGCACAAUGUGAGACUCUAUUUUUUACUUUGUGACUUUGAUGGCAUGAACAAACUUCACCCUCCAGCUUUUUAAUAUGAUUAUAAGCCCUUUACAAGAAUACAGCUUUCACACUGCACAGCAGGAUACAUAAUAUUUCUUAUAAAUUUAAUUUAGAAAACGGCAGGAAAAUAAUGUUGAGGAUUUUCCCUAACCCUACUAAAGCAAGGCAAUUCCAUUAAUACUGCCACUCCGUCUCUAACUCCACACAUGGCACUUUAAGAUGACAGUCUUCUAGGAUCCCUGCCAUUCUUUGGAACAAUAAAGGUAAACUUGAGAUAUGGGACACGUUUUGUCUCUGAAUUUGUUUUCCUAAAGCUGCGCAGUUGGAUCUCUAACAACACCCUUCGUGUUUAGCUCUUCUUUUGAAGUAGCGGGCUGAAAAGUUCUAAGGCUAGAACAGAGACGUGGCAUUGACCCAGCUUUGAUCAUGCAAGAAAAAAGAUAAUCCAGAAGAAGUUGAAGAACCAAGACAGAAGAAAUCUGGUUUCCUGACUGACUUUUCAAAGAGAAGCUACUCAACAAGGCUACACUAUCCAGACAAUUACAGGAGAGAAAUAAACCUCUGUCUUAUGGAAGCCUUUCUAUUUUUAGUGACUUUUUGUUACAGGAACUUAACAUUUACUUCAACAUAUAUAGCAGAUACCAAUAUUUGCUUGCUGCAUCUGUUAUCAAACAUGUAAACAAUAAUGUUCACAUCCUCUGAGAAGUAGAGAGUGAAUUAUAAAAAUUCUGAAGAUUGGAUGUUUAAGUUUUAAAUAUACCAUAUGCAUAAACAUUAUUUUUGUCCUUGAA
Long non-coding RNA from Bubalus bubalis (water buffalo), 2248 nucleotides. RefSeq lists it as uncharacterized. The record is from RefSeq and is a predicted model, not a curated record. Lineage: Eukaryota; Metazoa; Chordata; Mammalia; Artiodactyla; Bovidae. The transcript has 2 exons.